Molecule: ribosomal RNA, 709 nt
Filed under: uncultured bacterium
Lineage: Bacteria
Description: bacterial SSU rRNA
Rfam family: Bacterial small subunit ribosomal RNA
Source: RNAcentral
CCUUGAAGAUCGGAGUGCUUGCACUCUGUGAAACAAGAUACAGGCUAGCGGCGGACGGGUGAGUAACACGUGGGUAACCUGCCCAAGAGAUCGGGAUAACACCUGGAAACAGAUGCUAAUACCGGAUAACAACAGAUGAUGCCUAUCAACUGUUUAAAAGAUGGUUCUGCUAUCACUCUUGGAUGGGCCUGCGGUGCAUUAGCUAGUUGGUAGGGUAACGGCCUACCAAGGCGAUGAUGCAUAGCCGAGUUGAGAGACUGAUCGGCCACAUUGGGACUGAGACACGGCCCAAACUCCUACGGGAGGCAGCAGUAGGGAAUCUUCCACAAUGGACGCAAGUCUGAUGGAGCAACGCCGCGUGAGUGAAGAAGGGUUUCGGCUCGUAAAGCUCUGUUGUUGGUGAAGAAGGACAGGGGUAGUAACUGACCUUUGUUUGACGGUAAUCAAUUAGAAAGUCACGGCUAACUACGCGCCAGCAGCCGCGGUAAUACGUAGGUGGCAAGCGUUGUCCGGAUUUAUUGGGCGUAAAGCGAGUGCAGGCGGCUCGAUAAGUCUGAUGUGAAAGCCUUCGGCUCAACCGGAGAAUUGCAUCAGAAACUGUCGAGCUUGAGUACAGAAGAGGAGAGUGGAACUCCAUGUGUAGCGGUGAAAUGCGUAGAUAUAUGGAAGAACACCGGUGGCGAANGCGGCUCUCUGGUCUGUUACUGAC